Small nuclear RNA from Mastomys coucha (southern multimammate mouse), 102 nucleotides. Lineage: Eukaryota; Metazoa; Chordata; Mammalia; Rodentia; Muridae. The record is from RefSeq and is a predicted model, not a curated record.
GUGCUUGCUUUGGCAGCUCGUGUACUAAAGCUGCGAUGAUACAAAGAUUGCCACGGCCCCUGGGCAAGGAUGACACAAAUUCACAAGCUGAUCCAUAUUUUU